ACGAACGCUGGCGGCGUGCUUAACACAUGCAAGUCGAACGGAAAGGCCCUGCUUUUGUGGGGUGCUCGAGUGGCGAACGGGUGAGUAACACGUGAGUAACCUGCCCUUGACUUUGGGAUAACUUCAGGAAACUGGGGCUAAUACCGGAUAGGAGCUCCUGCUGCAUGGUGGGGGUUGGAAAGUUUCGGCGGUUGGGGAUGGACUCGCGGCUUAUCAGCUUGUUGGUGGGGUAGUGGCUUACCAAGGCUUUGACGGGUAGCCGGCCUGAGAGGGUGACCGGCCACAUUGGGCCUGAGAUACGGCCCGGACCCCUCCGGGGGGCAGGGGGGGGGAAUAUUGCAAAAGGGGCGGACGCCUGACGCAGCAACCCCGCGGGCGGGAUGGCGGCCUUCGGGUUGUAAACCGCUUUCCCCUGGAACGACGCGUGAGUGACGGAAAUGGGUAAAGAAGCCCCGGCUACCUACGU
RNAcentral lists this ribosomal RNA (466 nucleotides) under uncultured bacterium. Its description in RNAcentral is "partial 16S ribosomal RNA". It matches the Rfam family "Bacterial small subunit ribosomal RNA", at positions 29 to 506 of the family's 1533-position model. The record is from RNAcentral.